Molecule: ribosomal RNA, 1575 nt
Filed under: Miniopterus inflatus (greater long-fingered bat)
Lineage: Eukaryota; Metazoa; Chordata; Mammalia; Chiroptera; Miniopteridae
Description: 16S ribosomal RNA
Rfam family: Bacterial large subunit ribosomal RNA
Source: RNAcentral
ACUAAUAUUAGCCCACCCAACACUAAAUCCAAUUAUUCAACGCAAAUAAAUUAAAACAUUCACCAUAUCCUUACUAGUAUAGGCGAUAGAAAAUUGACUGUGGCGCUAUAGAGAAAGUACCGCAAGGGAAACCUGAAAGAAUAAUUAAAAGUAAUAAAUAGCAAAGCUUAAUCCUUGUACCUUUUGCAUAAUGAUUUAACUAGACUCAAUUUAGCAAAAAGAAUUUCAGUUAAACACCCCGAAACCAGACGAGCUACCUAUGAGCAGCUUUAUAGAGCAAAAUCAUCUAUGUGGCAAAAUAGUGAUGAGACCCCUAGGUAGAGGUGAAAAGCCUAACGAGCCUGGUGAUAGCUGGUUGUCCAGAACGGAACUUUAGUUCUAACUUAAACUUACCUCACUAAACUAAAAAUUAGAAUGUAAACUUAAGUAGUAUUCAAAAAGGGUACAGCCUUUUCGAAACAGGCUACAACCUUUAUUAGAGAGUAAAUAAAUGAAAAAACCAUAGUUGGCCUAAAAGCAGCCAUCAAUUAAGAAAGCGUUCAAGCUCAACAACCAUAACCCACCCUAAUUUCAUAAAUUAGCAAUUAACUCCUAAUUUUACACUGGACUAUUCUAUUAAUUAAUAGAAGAAAUACUGUUAAUAUGAGUAACAAGAAUUUAUUCUCCGUGCACAGCUGUAUAUCAGAACGAAUACAUCACUGAUAGUUAACAAAAUUAGAACGUACCCAAAACAAUUAACAUAUUCAUAGACUAAAUUGUUAAACCAACACAGGAGUGCAACCCCACGGAAAGAUUAAAAAGAGUAAAAGGAACUCGGCAAACAUAAACCCCGCCUGUUUACCAAAAACAUCACCUCUGGCAUUAACAGUAUCAGAGGCACUGCCUGCCCAGUGACAUUAGUUUAACGGCCGCGGUAUCCUGACCGUGCAAAGGUAGCAUAAUCACUUGUUCUCUAAAUAAGGACUUGUAUGAAUGGCCACACGAGGGUUUAACUGUCUCUUACUUUCAAUCAGUGAAAUUGACCUUCCCGUGAAGAGGCGGGAAUAUAACAAUAAGACGAGAAGACCCUAUGGAGCUUCAAUUAACCAGUUUACGAAAACUAAAAUUCACCCCACAGGGAAUAACAACAUAUUUUUCGAUGAUCUGGUAAUUUAGGUUGGGGUGACCUCGGAAUAUAAAAAAACUUCCGAGUGAUUUUAAUCUAGACCCACAGGUCGACAUAAAAUAUCACUUAUUGAUCCAAACUAUUGAUCAACGGAACAAGUUACCCUAGGGAUAACAGCGCAAUCCUAUUUUAGAGUCCAUAUCGACAAUAGGGUUUACGACCUCGAUGUUGGAUCAGGACAUCCCAAUGGUGCAGCAGCUAUUGAUGGUUCGUUUGUUCAACGAUUAAAGUCCUACGUGAUCUGAGUUCAGACCGGAGUAAUCCAGGUCGGUUUCUAUCUAUUAUAAGCUCCUCCCAGUACGAAAGGACAAGAGGGGCAAGGCCCACUUAAAACAAGCGCCUUCACAAUCAAAAGAUGAUAUAAUCUUAAUCUAGUAAUAAUUAACUAAACCAACCCAAGAUAAGGGUUA